GCGCUUAACACAUGCAAGUCGAACGAGAAAGGGGAGCAAUCCCUGAGUAAAGUGGCGUACGGGUGAGUAACACGUGGGUAAUCUACCUCUUAGUGGGGAAUAAUUCGGCGAAAGCUGGACUAAUACCGCAUAAGCCCGAGAGGGGAAACGCGAAAGCGGCUGAGAGAGGAGCCCGCGGCCGAUUAGCUAGUUGGCAGGGUAAAAGCCUACCAAGGCAGAGAUCGGUAGCCGGCCUGAGAGGGCACACGGCCACACUGGCACUGAAACACGG
This 271-nucleotide ribosomal RNA is filed under the name uncultured bacterium. Its description in RNAcentral is "partial 16S ribosomal RNA". It matches the Rfam family "Bacterial small subunit ribosomal RNA", at positions 44 to 329 of the family's 1533-position model. The record is from RNAcentral.